GGGGAAUUUUCCGCAAUGGGCGCAAGCCUGACGGAGCAAUACCGCGUGGGGGAGGAAGGCCCUUGGGUUGUAAACCCCUUUUGUCAGGGAAGAACACAAUGACGGUACCUGACGNNUCAGCCUCGGCUAACUCCGUGCCAGCAGCCGCGGUAAGACGGAGGAGGCAAGCGUUAUCCGGAAUUAUUGGGCGUAAAGCGUCCGUAGGUGGCCCCUCAAGUCUGCUGUUAAAGCCCAGGGCUCAACCCUGGAGAAGCAGUGGAAACUGGAGGGCUAGAGUGCGGUAGGGGUAGAGGGAAUUCCCGGUGUAGCGGUGAAAUGCGUAGAGAUCGGGAAGAACACCAGUGGCGAAAGCGCUCUGCUGGACCGCAACUGACACUGAGGGACGAAAGCUAGGGGAGCGAAUGGGAUUAGAUACCCCAGUAGUC
RNAcentral lists this ribosomal RNA (425 nucleotides) under uncultured cyanobacterium. Its description in RNAcentral is "bacterial SSU rRNA". It matches the Rfam family "Bacterial small subunit ribosomal RNA", at positions 356 to 795 of the family's 1533-position model. Lineage: Bacteria; Bacillati; Cyanobacteriota. The record is from RNAcentral.